AUGAAGAACGCAGCGAAAUGCGAUAAGUAGUGUGAAUUGCAGAAUUCAGUGAAUCAUCGAAUCUUUGAACGCACAUUGCGCCCUUUGGUAUUCCAAAGGGCAUGCCUGUUCGAGCGUCAUUUGUACCCUCAAGCUUUGCUUGGUGUUGGGCGU
This 153-nucleotide ribosomal RNA is filed under the name Alternaria oxytropis. RNAcentral describes it as "5.8S ribosomal RNA". The stretch from base 1 to 119 matches the Rfam family "5.8S ribosomal RNA", at positions 36 to 154 of the family's 154-position model. Rfam says of the family: 5.8S ribosomal RNA (5.8S rRNA) is a component of the large subunit of the eukaryotic ribosome. It is transcribed by RNA polymerase I as part of the 45S precursor that also contains 18S and 28S rRNA. Lineage: Eukaryota; Fungi; Ascomycota; Dothideomycetes; Pleosporales; Pleosporaceae. The record is from RNAcentral.